Molecule: ribosomal RNA, 402 nt
Filed under: uncultured prokaryote
Description: bacterial SSU rRNA
Rfam family: Bacterial small subunit ribosomal RNA
Source: RNAcentral
UAGGGAAUAUUAGAAAUGGACGAAAGUCUGAUCUAGCAACACCGCGUGUGCGAAGAAGGCCUUCGGGUUGUAAAGCACUUUUUGGAAGGAUUAGGAAGGACAGUACUCUUAGAAUAAGCCUCGGCUAACUACGUGCCAGCAGUCGCGGUAAAACGUAGGAGGCGAGCGUUAUCCGGAUUUACUGGGCGUAAAGCGUGUGUAGGCGGUUUGAUAAGUUGGAUGUGAAAGCUCCUGGCUUAACUGGGAGAGGUCGUUCAAAACUAUCAGACUUGAGAGUGGUAGAGGGAGGUGGAAUUCCGCAUGUAGUGGUGAAAUGCGUAGAUAUGCGGAGGAACACCAGUGGCGAAAGCGGCCUCCUGGCCCAUUUCUGACGCUCAGACACGAAAGCUAAGGUAGCAAACG